RNAcentral lists this ribosomal RNA (110 nucleotides) under Caerostris darwini. The record is from RNAcentral. Lineage: Eukaryota; Metazoa; Arthropoda; Arachnida; Araneae; Araneidae.
CGGGCGUACCAUGCUGAAUAUACCGGUUCUCGUUAGAUCACCGAAGUCAAGCAUCGUUGGGCGCGGUCAGUACUUGGGUGGGUGACCACCUGGGAACACCGCGUGCCGUU